Molecule: transfer RNA, 72 nt
Filed under: Oxytricha trifallax
Lineage: Eukaryota; Ciliophora; Spirotrichea; Sporadotrichida; Oxytrichidae
Rfam family: tRNA
About the family: Transfer RNA (tRNA) molecules are approximately 80 nucleotides in length.
Source: Rfam by way of RNAcentral
GGGCUAUUAGCUCAGUGGUAGAGCAACCGACUGCAGAUCGGUAGGUCGCUGGUUCAAUUCCGGCAUGGCCCU